RNAcentral lists this long non-coding RNA (1545 nucleotides) under Piliocolobus tephrosceles (Ugandan red Colobus). Its description in RNAcentral is "lncRNA (ENSPTEG00000009499.1)". The record is from RNAcentral. Lineage: Eukaryota; Metazoa; Chordata; Mammalia; Primates; Cercopithecidae.
CUAAGCGGUGGUUCAAAAAAUAGCAAAAGUGACAACCGGCAUGUUAUUAAUAGUAGUAAUAGUAAUAAUAGUUGUAGUAAUAAAAGCAGCAGUAGCAAAAGUAGCAGUAGCAAAAGUAGCAGUAGCAAAAGUAGCAGUAGCAAAAGUAGAAGUAGAAGUAGCAAAAGUAGAAGUAGAAGUAGCAAAAGUAGCAGUAGCAACAACAACAGUCGUAACAUCGGUGACGUAACAAGCCGGGACAACUUAACAAACGUGAAAAAUAUAAAAGUCUUUUGCAAACUAAAAAGUAAAUAUUAUCGCAUUAAAAAGUCACAGUACUCAUUUUUGAAAUAUAAAAUGAAUAUAAGUGACAAUAAAAGCAGAAGAAGAAAUAGAAGGAGUUAUUCAACGAAUUUGUUUGAAACAAUGUUAAAAGAAACGAAAAAAAUAAUUAUGUAUUUUAAAACUAAAGGCAAAGAAAUGAUAGAACAUUAUAAAAACAUGUUUCCAAACGUUAAUGUGAAACAUUGUUUGUAUGUGCUAUUAAUAUAUUUAUUUAUAAAUAUGGUAUUAUUAUUGUUUUGUACAUUUAUAUAUAUAUUUUUAUAUUUAUAUUAUGUCCCUCAAAAUAUGUUUAUAUACCCAAUUGAAUUUUCUUUAGUAAAGAAUCCGAUUGAAGAUUAUUUAAAGCAUAAUAAUUAUAAUAGUUAUAUAAAUAAAACCGAUUUUAUAAAAAAAAAUAUACAUGACUAUAAUAACCUGAACAAGUCAGAAAAAGAUGGUUCUUUAAAUUAUUUUAACUGUAUUAAAAAUGAAAUUAUAAAUGACAUAAAAAAUAAAAAUAUAUGCUGUGCAAAAUAUGUUAGCACUCCAUCAUUGCUUAAUAAUAAUGUAUCAAGCAAUGACACUAUGUUUUCUUCUUUUUCAAAUAACAAAAGUUAUAAUAUGGAAGAUGAAAAAAUAGACUAUUACAAAUAUUUGCAAAAUAAUAUAUUAAUAGGUAAAUUAAAUUUCGAUGAUUUUUCAAAAAAAAAUUACAUAUAUAAUAGUAGUAAUGGUUUUACCAAAUUUUUCAUACCCUUUUGGAAAAAAAAAAAUAUGAAUAAGCUUAGCAUAAAAAAAGGAAAUAUGAUUGACAUUUUUUUUAAUUAUUCUAAUAUGAACAAUGAGUAUAAUGACCACUUUAACUUUUAUUUUUUUGAACUUUUUAUUUUCAAAAAUUGUCAUAGUAGUGAUAGUAGUAGUAGUAGUAGUAGUAGUACUAGCAGUAGUAGUAGUACUAGUAGUAGUAGUAGUAGUAGUAGUGGUAGUGAUAAAAAUUGUAAUGAAGACAACGAUAGAAACUUAAUUUUAAAAAAAGGAAAACUACAUAAUAAUAACAAAAGUUACAAUUUUAUAAACCAGCUACAUAAAUUUGUUAACACCCCUUUUUAUUUCUUUAACAUAUUUAAUCAAAAAAACACACAAAUACGGUUAUUAAGUAAUUAUGAAUAUGUAACAGAAUUUAAAAAAAUGGAAUUAUAUAUAUACCCACCUAUACAAUUAUAUGACGCUCAGAUAGUUAUA